This 440-nucleotide ribosomal RNA is filed under the name uncultured Spirochaetota bacterium. Its description in RNAcentral is "uncultured Spirochaetes bacterium partial 16S ribosomal RNA". It matches the Rfam family "Bacterial small subunit ribosomal RNA", at positions 338 to 794 of the family's 1533-position model. The record is from RNAcentral. Lineage: Bacteria; Pseudomonadati; Spirochaetota.
CCUACGGGAGGCAGCAGUGAGGGAUAUUGCGCAAUGGGCGAAAGCCUGACGCAGCGACGCCGCGUGGGCGAGGAAGGCCUUCGGGUUGUAAAGCCCUUUUGGCAGGGAAGAGCAAGGACUGUACCUGCAGAACAAGUCACGGCUAACUACGUGCCAGCAGCCGCGGUAAAACGUAGGGGGCGAGCGUUGUCCGGAGUUACUGGGCGUAAAGGGCGUGUAGGCGGUUGGAUAAGUCUGGUGUGAAAUGCCGGAGCUUAACUUUGGCACUGCGCUGGAAACUGUCGGACUGGAGUUCGGUAGGGGUAACGGGAAUUCCCGGUGUAACGGUGAAAUGUGUAGAUAUCGGGAGGAACACCCGUGGCGAAGGCGGGUUACUGGGCCGCAACUGACGCUGAGACGCGAAAGCGUGGGGAGCAAACAGGAUUAGAUCCCCUGGUAGU